This 2930-nucleotide ribosomal RNA is filed under the name Escherichia coli. RNAcentral's name for it is "23S ribosomal RNA". It matches the Rfam family "Bacterial large subunit ribosomal RNA". Lineage: Bacteria; Pseudomonadati; Pseudomonadota; Gammaproteobacteria; Enterobacterales; Enterobacteriaceae. The record is from RNAcentral.
GGGUUGUGAGGUUAAGCGACUAAGCGUACACGGUGGAUGCCCUGGCAGUCAGAGGCGAUGAAGGACGUGCUAAUCUGCGAUAAGCGUCGGUAAGGUGAUAUGAACCGUUAUAACCGGCGAUUUCCGAAUGGGGAAACCCAGUGUGAUUCGUCACACUAUCAUUAACUGAAUCCAUAGGUUAAUGAGGCGAACCGGGGGAACUGAAACAUCUAAGUACCCCGAGGAAAAGAAAUCAACCGAGAUUCCCCCAGUAGCGGCGAGCGAACGGGGAGCAGCCCAGAGCCUGAAUCAGUGUGUGUGUUAGUGGAAGCGUCUGGAAAGGCGCGCGAUACAGGGUGACAGCCCCGUACACAAAAAUGCACAUACUGUGAGCUCGAUGAGUAGGGCGGGACACGUGGUAUCCUGUCUGAAUAUGGGGGGACCAUCCUCCAAGGCUAAAUACUCCUGACUGACCGAUAGUGAACCAGUACCGUGAGGGAAAGGCGAAAAGAACCCCGGCGAGGGGAGUGAAAAAGAACCUGAAACCGUGUACGUACAAGCAGUGGGAGCACGCUUAGGCGUGUGACUGCGUACCUUUUGUAUAAUGGGUCAGCGACUUAUAUUCUGUAGCAAGGUUAACCGAAUAGGGGAGCCGAAGGGAAACCGAGUCUUAACUGGGCGUUAAGUUGCAGGGUAUAGACCCGAAACCCGGUGAUCUAGCCAUGGGCAGGUUGAAGGUUGGGUAACACUAACUGGAGGACCGAACCGACUAAUGUUGAAAAAUUAGCGGAUGACUUGUGGCUGGGGGUGAAAGGCCAAUCAAACCGGGAGAUAGCUGGUUCUCCCCGAAAGCUAUUUAGGUAGCGCCUCGUGAAUUCAUCUCCGGGGGUAGAGCACUGUUUCGGCAAGGGGGUCAUCCCGACUUACCAACCCGAUGCAAACUGCGAAUACCGGAGAAUGUUAUCACGGGAGACACACGGCGGGUGCUAACGUCCGUCGUGAAGAGGGAAACAACCCAGACCGCCAGCUAAGGUCCCAAAGUCAUGGUUAAGUGGGAAACGAUGUGGGAAGGCCCAGACAGCCAGGAUGUUGGCUUAGAAGCAGCCAUCAUUUAAAGAAAGCGUAAUAGCUCACUGGUCGAGUCGGCCUGCGCGGAAGAUGUAACGGGGCUAAACCAUGCACCGAAGCUGCGGCAGCGACGCUUAUGCGUUGUUGGGUAGGGGAGCGUUCUGUAAGCCUGCGAAGGUGUGCUGUGAGGCAUGCUGGAGGUAUCAGAAGUGCGAAUGCUGACAUAAGUAACGAUAAAGCGGGUGAAAAGCCCGCUCGCCGGAAGACCAAGGGUUCCUGUCCAACGUUAAUCGGGGCAGGGUGAGUCGACCCCUAAGGCGAGGCCGAAAGGCGUAGUCGAUGGGAAACAGGUUAAUAUUCCUGUACUUGGUGUUACUGCGAAGGGGGGACGGAGAAGGCUAUGUUGGCCGGGCGACGGUUGUCCCGGUUUAAGCGUGUAGGCUGGUUUUCCAGGCAAAUCCGGAAAAUCAAGGCUGAGGCGUGAUGACGAGGCACUACGGUGCUGAAGCAACAAAUGCCCUGCUUCCAGGAAAAGCCUCUAAGCAUCAGGUAACAUCAAAUCGUACCCCAAACCGACACAGGUGGUCAGGUAGAGAAUACCAAGGCGCUUGAGAGAACUCGGGUGAAGGAACUAGGCAAAAUGGUGCCGUAACUUCGGGAGAAGGCACGCUGAUAUGUAGGUGAAGUCCCUCGCGGAUGGAGCUGAAAUCAGUCGAAGAUACCAGCUGGCUGCAACUGUUUAUUAAAAACACAGCACUGUGCAAACACGAAAGUGGACGUAUACGGUGUGACGCCUGCCCGGUGCCGGAAGGUUAAUUGAUGGGGUCAGCGCAAGCGAAGCUCUUGAUCGAAGCCCCGGUAAACGGCGGCCGUAACUAUAACGGUCCUAAGGUAGCGAAAUUCCUUGUCGGGUAAGUUCCGACCUGCACGAAUGGCGUAAUGAUGGCCAGGCUGUCUCCACCCGAGACUCAGUGAAAUUGAACUCGCUGUGAAGAUGCAGUGUACCCGCGGCAAGACGGAAAGACCCCGUGAACCUUUACUAUAGCUUGACACUGAACAUUGAGCCUUGAUGUGUAGGAUAGGUGGGAGGCUUUGAAGUGUGGACGCCAGUCUGCAUGGAGCCGACCUUGAAAUACCACCCUUUAAUGUUUGAUGUUCUAACGUUGACCCGUAAUCCGGGUUGCGGACAGUGUCUGGUGGGUAGUUUGACUGGGGCGGUCUCCUCCUAAAGAGUAACGGAGGAGCACGAAGGUUGGCUAAUCCUGGUCGGACAUCAGGAGGUUAGUGCAAUGGCAUAAGCCAGCUUGACUGCGAGCGUGACGGCGCGAGCAGGUGCGAAAGCAGGUCAUAGUGAUCCGGUGGUUCUGAAUGGAAGGGCCAUCGCUCAACGGAUAAAAGGUACUCCGGGGAUAACAGGCUGAUACCGCCCAAGAGUUCAUAUCGACGGCGGUGUUUGGCACCUCGAUGUCGGCUCAUCACAUCCUGGGGCUGAAGUAGGUCCCAAGGGUAUGGCUGUUCGCCAUUUAAAGUGGUACGCGAGCUGGGUUUAGAACGUCGUGAGACAGUUCGGUCCCUAUCUGCCGUGGGCGCUGGAGAACUGAGGGGGGCUGCUCCUAGUACGAGAGGACCGGAGUGGACGCAUCACUGGUGUUCGGGUUGUCAUGCCAAUGGCACUGCCCGGUAGCUAAAUGCGGAAGAGAUAAGUGCUGAAAGCAUCUAAGCACGAAACUUGCCCCGAGAUGAGUUCUCCCUGACUCCUUGAGAGUCCUGAAGGAACGUUGAAGACGACGACGUUGAUAGGCCGGGUGUGUAAGCGCAGCGAUGCGUUGAGCUAACCGGUACUAAUGAACCGUGAGGCUUAACCUUACAACGCCGAAGCUGUU